Neofelis nebulosa (Clouded leopard) is the source of this 2967-nucleotide long non-coding RNA. RefSeq lists it as uncharacterized. The record is from RefSeq and is a predicted model, not a curated record. NCBI's taxonomy places the organism in Eukaryota, Metazoa, Chordata, Mammalia, Carnivora, Felidae. The transcript has 2 exons.
AUUCAUUCAUUCAUUCAUUUAUUUAUGUAAGUAAGUAAACCCUAUACCCAACAUGGGGCUUGAACUCACCGACUGUGAGAUCAAGAGUCGCAUGCUCUACUGACUGAGCCAGGCAGGCAACCCCUCUAAACUUUUUUGAUGGUGUAUCCAUAGUGGUAAAAAUCUUGUGCCUCCCCCAUAAGUCUUUGUAUUUACUUUUAAACCAUACACCUGCACUACUGCAUGAAUGUAGUAUGUACAUUAAAACUAUGCACAAAACAGAAUUAAAAGGAUGCUUUUAAAAAAUGAAAUAUACAAUAUUUGGAAAAUAUUUUUAUUUUAUUUAUUAAGAGUAAAAAAAGUCCUAACUUCUCUCAGUAAAGAAAGAUUAUUGUUUCCUUUAUUGAAAACAAUGCAAUUCAAUACGUUUCAAUAUUUUGAAAAUGUUGGUUUAACACAUUAUUUGGGGCCACAGAAUCACAUAGUGAUAAAUAUUUCUCAAGAUCGAUUCUUAAAUUUCUCUCUUCAUAGCAUGAAUUUCUUUUAAAGAGGCAGCCAGGGCCUCAUUCAUCACUUUAAAAACUUACUUUUAACUCAACGAGACCCAUUAGGCAUGUUUGUUUCUUUCACAAUAUCAGCUAGGUAGGCGCUGUGACCAUCAGGGGUCAGUCACCAAGAGAAAACCCACUGCAGGCUGUUCAAGCAAACAGGAACUGAGUGCAGGGCACUGGGAUGCUUGCGGCACUAUGGGAAGGACUGCCGGAGUUUGGGGAAGUUGCCACUAAUGUUCAGCAGUUCUAAGCAGUCACUAGAAGGUCGCUGCCGUCACCCAGGUCAGAAGAAUGCAGGGCGCCCCCUUUGCUCAUCAGAGCCGAGCCGAGUACUGACGCGCCGGCUGACAGGUCACCUAGAGGCUGGGGCGGAGCUUCGGGUCUCCCGGGACCUACCCACUUUGCAAGGUGCUGCCAGAGAAAAAAAUAACACCACUUUCUCCUCCCACCUACAAAAAUCUCACAUGAAUACCCUGGCAGAAAGAAAUGACAUCCAGAACCUGGAAGGCAAAGGAGUUUGGGAGAUGUAGUUCCCCUAAGUCCAGUCCCUGUGACACAGAGAGAGCAUGACACAGAGGGAUAUGGGAAUGAGUGCGGGCUGUCAAAAAACAGACUGCAGACCUCACGGGCAGCACACUCCUGAUACCCUCCUGUCGUCACAGAAAAGGAGAGCAAUUGAGAAACACUUCUGUAAACGAAAAAUAGCCAUUUUUAAGUUUGGCAACUCUGGUAGAUACUUUGCAGCAAGAGAAUCACUCGGUCUCUUUGUGGUGUACGGGAUUUUCAUGACUACUCUGCAUUACGUAAUAGUUUCUUCCAUGUAAAGGUAUUACUUUUCAUCAAAUUAACCUAACUGAUGACAUCCUGUAGCAUAUCAGCUCAGUACGUUAUAAUACUCAGGAGCAAAUGUGGCUGUUAACGGGCGAGCUGACCCGUAGAUGCAGGCAGAGAGAGCCGCGAUGUAUCCCUCUCAACCCCUGCUGCUUGCGGACCUCCUGGCCGAAGGCUUUCUUUCCAGCAUGAGAUCGGCGGCAGUUCACGCAGCUCUUCCAAGAGAAAAACAGGACAACUGGCGGUUUUUCUUUGGUUUGGAAAAAAUAAAAAUAAAAGUCCAGCCUGUAAAACAUUAAAACCCCAGACUUUACCCAAUAAGACUCCUCACUGACAAGGUGAGACUGCCGUCGGCUGGAAAAUGAGCCUCGAGGGCUGGAGGACCUGGCCAACCUCUCCAUCCCCCGAUCGGCUGGUCACCUCUUCAAAGGCAACCUGUUCCUGGAACAAGCCAGACUUGUAUAAAAAGAAAGUAACUUUGCUUUCUCGUGAAUGCCCGGACAAACCUGAGGUCAUGGUUUGGUCUCCCGUGAGCCUGGAUGAAAUUUACAGCUUUUCCAGUCUCUGCAAAGUAACAAACAGGCCGAAGAGUUGUCAUCAUCAUCAUUUCAGAAAUAGUCUCUUGUUCUGGCUAUCAACAAGUCUCAUCGAGUGAUCGACCAAAACUUCAAAUGUCAGUUAAUUUUAAAACUUCUUCCCUUCCCCGGCCCGGAAAUCUGAGGGAGAACGGGGGUCACGGUCAGCGUCAUUUUGAUUUCUCACACAGGACCUCUUCCCACUCGUGGCUGUUCCGGGCCUGCUCUCGUGUGGCCGCAGGGGAAGGAGAGGGGGUGUUCCCUUUGGCUGGACUCCUUCUUGAAAUGGCCAAACCUGCCUCCCUCUCUCAAGAAGCACAGCAAGCCUUCGGGAACCCAGGAACUUGGGGCGUGCAAGCCAUUUGGAGCACAGUCUUCUCUCCUCUUCUGUCUUCUCAAGGACCUAGCCACCGACAGUUUGUCUUCAGACUUUAGGAAGAAGUCAGACACCAGUCCCUUUGUCCUUGAAACUCCGCAAGCUGUACCAAACUCCCCAGGUGGUCCUCUUGAAGCGCCCCCUCAUUUGGCAUGAAGCAAAGAGGGAGCACCCCCCACCCUCCCCUGCUUGGGGAGAAGGGGAAACGUCCAGCAUACAGACAGCUACUUCCAAAGAAAUCCUCUCACAUUCUCUUCCAUAGCCUGAGGUGGGUGCCGAGCUAAUCCUUCCCAGUAUUGAGCUAGUGCUUCCCGGGGUCCAUUUCACAACCUCUUAGGGUGGGUGCAUAGGUGAUCUGGCUCCUCCUCCCUUUAGAAUGUGGACAGAUUGGCGCCUAUGGUUUUGUUCUCAGCCUUUGGGGUUUCUGGUGAAACUGACACAGAAAGAGUCCCGUUUUAGUAAAUGAAGUCACCACUGUCAACCCCUCCUCCUUAUGGAACUCCUGUUCUUACAUCAGGACACCUGAUGCGCUGUAGGUGAUAUGCAAGAGUCUGACUUAUGAAAUGGACUGUGAAUGUACAGUUCAUAUAGAAGUAAGUACUAAGUAGCAUAUAUAUUAUAAUUUCAUAUUCAAUAUUAAUGUUUGCAUACUAUA